GACGAACGCUGGCGGCGUGCUUAACACAUGCAAGUCGAACGGAAAGGCCCUGCUUGCAGGGUACUCGAGUGGCGAACGGGUGAGUAACACGUGGGUGAUCUGCCCUGCACUUCGGGAUAAGCCUGGGAAACUGGGUCUAAUACCGGAUAGGAGCCAUUUUUAGUGUGAUGGUUGGAAAGUUUUUUCGGUGUAGGAUGAGCUCGCGGCCUAUCAGCUUGUUGGUGGGGUAAUGGCCUACCAAGGCGGCGACGGGUAGCCGGCCUGAGAGGGUGGACGGCCACAUUGGGACUGAGAUACGGCCCAGACUCCUACGGGAGGCAGCAGUGGAGAAUAUUGCACAAUGGGCGCAAGCCUGAUGCAGCGACGCCGCGUGGGGGAUGACGGCCUUCGGGUUGUAAACUCCUUUCGCUAGGGACGAAGCUUUUUGUGACGGUACCUAGAUAAGAAGCACCGGCUAACUACGUG
RNAcentral lists this ribosomal RNA (465 nucleotides) under uncultured bacterium. Its description in RNAcentral is "partial 16S ribosomal RNA". It matches the Rfam family "Bacterial small subunit ribosomal RNA", at positions 28 to 507 of the family's 1533-position model. The record is from RNAcentral.